RNAcentral lists this ribosomal RNA (412 nucleotides) under uncultured bacterium. RNAcentral's name for it is "bacterial SSU rRNA". It matches the Rfam family "Bacterial small subunit ribosomal RNA", at positions 505 to 916 of the family's 1533-position model. The record is from RNAcentral.
GUGCCAGCCGCCGCGGUAAUACGUAGGUGGCGAGCGUUGUCCGGAAUUACUGGGCGUAAAGGGCGUGUAGGCGGGGGUAGAAGUCAGGUGUGAAAUACCGCGGCUCAACUGCGGGGAUGCAUCUGAAACUCUGCUUCUUGAGUGUCGGAGAGGAAAGCGGAAUUCCCAGUGUAGCGGUGAAAUGCGUAGAGAUUGGGAGGAACACCAGUGGCGAAGGCGGCUUACUGGACAUUAACUGACGCUGAUGCGCGAAAGUGUGGGGAGCAAACAGGAUUAGAUACCCUGGUAGUCCACACCGUAAACGAUGGAUACUAGGUGUGGGGGGAUCGACCCCCUCCGUGCCGCAGUUAACGCAAUAAGUAUCCCACCUGGGGAGUACGGCCGCAAGGCUGAAACUCAAAGGAAUUGGCGG